AAAGGGAACUCCCUGACCCCUUGCGCUUCCCGAGUGAGGCAAUGCCUCGCCCUGCUUCGGCUCGCGCAUGGUGUGCGCACCCAAUGACCUGCGCCCACUGUCUGGCCCUCCCUAGUGAGAUGAACCCGGUACCUCAGAUGGAAAUGCAGAAAUCACCCAUCUUCUGCAUCGCUCACGCUGGUAGCUGUAGACCGGAGCUGUUCCUAUUCGGCCAUCUUGGCUCCUCCUCAAUUUUUGUAUAUAGUGAAAGAGUCUCCUGCAAUGAUUCAGACUUGGCUUUUCUGGCUUCUUCCAUAGAUAAGCACCAGCCUAGGAGCUCUCAAAGUUGUUCCAGCUAAAGGACACACUCAGCUUUUGGUCUACAGUGGCUUCCAGCCUAAGUGGCUCUGGACACUGCUGGAACCCCCCGCUCCAUCUCCCUCCAUAAAUAUGUCUCUGCAGCAGUAAAUGCUAAAGGGAGUCCUUCCUGCAGGUUGAUAUAAAAGGACACUAAACAAUAACUUGAUGCCAUAUGAAGAAAAAAAGAUCUCAGCGAAGCUCGGUCAAGGAGUGUGAUGACUGGCGAGCAGAUGGCUGCCUUCCAUCCAUCGUCCACCCCCAACCCGCUGGAGAGGCCCAUCAAGAUGGGCUGGCUGAAGAAGCAGAGGUCCAUCGUGAAGAACUGGCAGCAGAGGUACUUUGUGCUGAGGGCGCAGCAGCUCUACUACUACAAGGAUGAAGAGGACACGAAGCCCCAGGGCUGCAUGUAUCUACCAGGAUGUACAAUCAAGGAGAUCGCCACAAACCCAGAAGAAGCUGGGAAGUUUGUCUUUGAAAUCAUUCCAGCCUCAUGGGACCAGAAUCGCAUGGGACAGGACUCCUAUGUCCUCAUGGCCAGCUCUCAGGCGGAGAUGGAGGAGUGGGUUAAA
This 908-nucleotide small RNA is filed under the name Pan troglodytes (chimpanzee). RNAcentral describes it as "processed transcript". The record is from RNAcentral. Lineage: Eukaryota; Metazoa; Chordata; Mammalia; Primates; Hominidae.